RNAcentral lists this ribosomal RNA (402 nucleotides) under uncultured bacterium. Its description in RNAcentral is "bacterial SSU rRNA". It matches the Rfam family "Bacterial small subunit ribosomal RNA", at positions 355 to 774 of the family's 1533-position model. The record is from RNAcentral.
UAGGGAAUAUUUGUAAUGUGCGAAAGCGCGAACCAGCAACGCCGCGUGCACGAUGAAGGCCUUCGGGUUGUAAAGUGCUUUUAGAGAGGAUGAGGAAGGACAGUACUUUCUGAAUAAGCCUCGGCUAACUACGUGCCAGCAGCCGCGGUAAAACGUAGGAGGCUAGCGUUAUCCGGAUUUACUGGGCGUAAAGCGCGUGCAGGUGGUUUCGUAAGUUGGAUGUGAAAGCUCCUGGCUUAACUGGGAGAGGUCGUUCAAAACUGCGAGGCUUGAGAGUGGUAGAGGGAGGUGGAAUUCCGGGUGUAGUGGUGAAAUGCGUAGAUAUCCGGAGGAACACCAGUGGCGAAAGCGGCCUCCUGGACCAUUUCUGACACUCAGACGCGAAAGCUAAGGUAGCAAACG